GUGAGGAAUAUUGGUCAAUGGGCGAAAGCCUGAACCAGCCAUGUCGCGUGAAGGAUGAAGGUCCUAUGGAUUGUAAACUUCUUUUGCAGGAGGGUAAAGUGAGCUACGUGUAGUUCAUUGCAAGUACCCUGCGAAUAAGCAUCGGCUAACUCCGUGCCAGCAGCCGCGGUAAUACGGAGGAUGCGAGCGUUAUCCGGAUUUAUUGGGUUUAAAGGGUGCGUAGGCGGACUAAUUAGUCAGCGGUAAAAUUUUGCGGCUCAAACGUAAAACUGCCGUUGAAACUGUUAGUCUUGAGUGCGGUAGAGGUAGGCUGAAUGUGUGGUGUAGCGGUGAAAUGCUUAGAUAUCACACAGAACACCGAUUGCGUAGGCAGCUUACUGGAGCGCAACUGACGCUGAGGCACGAAAGCGUGGGGAUCGAACAGGAUUAGAAACCCUGGUAGUCC
RNAcentral lists this ribosomal RNA (445 nucleotides) under uncultured bacterium. RNAcentral describes it as "partial 16S ribosomal RNA". It matches the Rfam family "Bacterial small subunit ribosomal RNA", at positions 354 to 796 of the family's 1533-position model. The record is from RNAcentral.